CGGGGAGUGGGGCAGCUGGUAGCCCGCGUGGCCUGGGACCACGAGGUCGCGAGUUCGAGUCUCGCCUCCCCGACCA
RNAcentral lists this transfer RNA (76 nucleotides) under Anaerolineae bacterium. RNAcentral describes it as "tRNA-Pro". It matches the Rfam family "tRNA". From Rfam's summary of the family: Transfer RNA (tRNA) molecules are approximately 80 nucleotides in length. Their secondary structure includes four short double-helical elements and three loops (D, anti-codon, and T loops). Lineage: Bacteria; Bacillati; Chloroflexota; Anaerolineae. The record is from RNAcentral.